This 1312-nucleotide long non-coding RNA is filed under the name Populus trichocarpa (black cottonwood). RNAcentral describes it as "long non-coding RNA (PTRI_LNC003047)". Lineage: Eukaryota; Viridiplantae; Streptophyta; Magnoliopsida; Malpighiales; Salicaceae. The record is from RNAcentral.
AGGAGGAAGAAGACUUACUUGGGCGAAGACAAAGACGAAGACGAUGGAGGACUGGUCAGCUAGCCUCUUCAUGUUUUUCUCUUCUUCUGGUCUUUUGUUCUCCUGAUGGGUUCUGUCUCUCUGUUUGCUAUGGUGUUUCUUUUUAUUUGUUCGUCGCUCCCAUGUUCUCUCUUGGUCUCUCCUUUUUUUUUUUUCUCUGCCCAUCUCUGCUCCUUUUUUUUCUGUCAUCUCUCCCCAUUUGAUUGUUGAUUUCCUUGGUAUUUAUAGGGAUCUUCCUUCUCUGCCUCAACCUACACCUCUCCUCUUGAUAAGCAUGGCUUGGGGAGUCGGUUUCCUGCUAGGACUCGGACGCCAACAAUCCUCCUACGCCUGGACUGUUGGUGGUAGACUUUGGCCUGGAUUCCGGUAGCGUGUCCGGGAGGAAGUCUGCUUGGAUUGGGGACCUCGGUAGGUUAAAUAUGGCUUGUGUUGGGCUGCCCAUCUGGGCAGCAUUUCAUUUUUUUCUUUACCGGUGGCUUCCUCUGUCUUCAGAGGAAGAAGACGAUAGAUGUACGUGAAACGACGCCAUUUCAGGGCAAAGGCGGCUGUUUUUCAAUUUGGUCCUCGAUGUUUUGACAUUUUUCAAUCGAACCCCUAGACCAAAUUGUAAUUAAACCCCUGCAUUGCGGCGCCUUUACACAACGGUCCUUGGACUUUAAUUUCUUGUUAUUUGGACCUAAACCAACCCUGAAUUUUUAAUAUUUCUUCAAUUAAGCCCAAGAUUUCAUUAAUUAAACUAAUUUUAAGUUCAAUUAAGUCCUCAAACUUAUCAAUUAUUUCCUUUUCUACCACAAUUGGCUCCCAAACUUAUUAUCCAUUCUGAUUAAAUUCUCAAGACUUUCAAUUUGUGUUGUCUUGGCCUAAAACUCAAAUUUGUUUUCAUUCAUUUUAUUUUUGUGAAUUUAUAUUGUCAAAAAUUGGGUUAUGACAAAAAGUAUUAUGCUAUACUCCUCUUAGUGUACCAAUAUAUGAAAAUCAUUAUGAGUUCAACUUACCUUUUACAAUGCUACAACUAGAACUUAUUUAAUCAAAGAAAUAAGCAGGAAAUAAUAAUUUUCUAAUGCUACUGAGAAUGUUAUGACUUAUUUUCCUAUUUGAACCUAAAUCUUAGAAUCUUCAUUCAACUAAGUAUAAUUAUUAUCAUUACACUUUUUUUUAUUUUCAAAGGCUUUAAGUACAUUCCCAUUGAUGAAUUAUACACAAACUCUCUCGACAAACCUUUGGUUAGUGGAUUCGUAAUAUUUUUCUUUGAAUUUACAUAGUCAAUGGAAAC